This 338-nucleotide unclassified non-coding RNA is filed under the name Hevea brasiliensis (rubber tree). The record is from RNAcentral. Lineage: Eukaryota; Viridiplantae; Streptophyta; Magnoliopsida; Malpighiales; Euphorbiaceae.
UUACUUCUAUAUAUUACCCAUAUCAUGGACGUGAUUAGAGGCUGUGGUGGCUUAUCAUCUGGAAGCUUUUACUGGGCAAAUCUACAUAUAUCUGUGUAUUUGGUCCUUGUGAUUCUGUGGUUAUGGCUUUGGCUUGAGUAUUAAUCAGAGCCUAAAAAUAGUCCUGGACUAAUCCAUCCCAAACUCUUCAACAGUCUUUUCGAUUAUAAUUUCCCUUCUGGGAAAUAUUAAAUAUUUUUAUUUAUUUUUUUUGAUAUUGAUGCUUACUUAGUGUCUAAGAGAAGAGAGUCGUGUCCAAGAGAGUUGAAUGGCGAAAAAGUAUUUGUAUAAUUGCUGAC